GCCUGACUGGCUCAGUUGGUAGAGCAUGCGACUCUUAAUCUCAGGGUCAUGAGUUCAAGCUCCAUGUUGGGCC
RNAcentral lists this transfer RNA (73 nucleotides) under Ailuropoda melanoleuca (giant panda). It matches the Rfam family "tRNA". Rfam says of the family: Transfer RNA (tRNA) molecules are approximately 80 nucleotides in length. Their secondary structure includes four short double-helical elements and three loops (D, anti-codon, and T loops). Lineage: Eukaryota; Metazoa; Chordata; Mammalia; Carnivora; Ursidae. The record is from Rfam by way of RNAcentral.